RNAcentral lists this ribosomal RNA (253 nucleotides) under uncultured bacterium. Its description in RNAcentral is "partial 16S ribosomal RNA". It matches the Rfam family "Bacterial small subunit ribosomal RNA", at positions 524 to 776 of the family's 1533-position model. The record is from RNAcentral.
UACGGGGGGGCAAGCGUUGUUCGGAAUUACUGGGCGUAAAGGGCUCGUAGGCGGCCAACUAAGUCGGACGUGAAAUCCCUCGGCUUAACCGGGGAACUGCGUCCGAUACUGGAUGGCUUGAGGUUGGGAGAGGGAUGCGGAAUUCCAGGUGUAGCGGUGAAAUGCGUAGAUAUCUGGAGGAACACCGGUGGCGAAGGCGGCAUCCUGGACCAAUUCUGACGCUGAGUGAGCGAAAGCCAGGGGAGCAAACGGG